GAAAAUAAAAAAAAAUAUGGUUUGGACUGGCCUUGUCAUGUGGAAUAGCCUGCCAGGAGCUUAUGCCUGGGACAGCCCCCACAGGCUUAUGUGUGAAAGAAUCUGAUCCGAGAAAGAUCAUGAAUGAUUUGAUCCGAGAAAGAUCAUGGCCACUUUGAUCCGAGAAAGAUCAUGAAUAUUUCGAUCCGAGGAAGAUCACAGAAAUCGAUCC
Molecule: long non-coding RNA, 211 nt
Filed under: Elaeis guineensis (African oil palm)
Lineage: Eukaryota; Viridiplantae; Streptophyta; Magnoliopsida; Arecales; Arecaceae
Description: long non-coding RNA (EGUI_LNC031981)
Source: RNAcentral